AAUCAACGCUGGCGGCGUGCCUCAGACAUGCAAGUCGAACGCGAAAGCUCCCUUCGGGGAGCAAGUAGAGUGGCGCACGGGUGAGUAACACGUAGGUAAUCUACCUUCGGAUGGGGAAUAACAACCGGAAACGGUUGCUAAUACCGCAUAAUGCAGCGGCACCUAAUGGUGACAGUUGUUAAAGCGGGGGAUCGAAAGACCUCGCGUCUGAAGAGGAGCCUGCGGCAGAUUAGCUAGUUGGUAAGGUAACGGCUUACCAAGGCGAUGAUCUGUAGCCGGCCUGAGAGGGCGGUCGGCCACACUGACACUGACAUACGGGUCAGACUCCUACGGGAGGCAGCAGUCGGGAAUUUUGGGCAAUGGGCGAAAGCCUGACCCAGCAACGCCGCGUGAAGGAUGAAAUCCCUCGGGAUGUAAACUUCGCAAGAACGGGAAGAAUAAGCCGGUGUAAAUACCACCGGUGAUGACGGUACUGUUUGUAAGCUCCGGCUAACUCCGUGCCAGCAGCCG
This 510-nucleotide ribosomal RNA is filed under the name uncultured bacterium. RNAcentral's name for it is "bacterial SSU rRNA". It matches the Rfam family "Bacterial small subunit ribosomal RNA", at positions 32 to 517 of the family's 1533-position model. The record is from RNAcentral.